This 471-nucleotide ribosomal RNA is filed under the name uncultured bacterium. RNAcentral's name for it is "bacterial SSU rRNA". It matches the Rfam family "Bacterial small subunit ribosomal RNA", at positions 28 to 514 of the family's 1533-position model. The record is from RNAcentral.
GACGAACGCUGGCGGCGUGCCUAACACAUGCAAGUCGAACGGAGAUACGAUUUCGGUUGUAUCUUAGUGGCGAACGGGUGAGUAACGCGUGAGCAACCUGACCUUUAGAGGGGGAUAACACUUGGAAACAGGUGCUAAUACCGCAUAAGACCACGACCCGACAUCGGGAUGAGGUCAAAGGAGUAAUCCGCUAGAGGAGGGGCUCGCGUCCCAUUAGAUAGAUGGCGGGGUAACGGCCCACCAUGUCGACGAUGGGUAGCCGAGCUGAGAGGCUGAUCGGCCACACUGGAACUGAGACACGGUCCAGACUCCUACGGGAGGCAGCAGUGGGGAAUAUUGGGCAAUGGGCGCAAGCCUGACCCAGCAACGCCGCGUGAGGGAAGAAGGCCUUCGGGUUGUAAACCUCUGUCCUUGGUGACGAAAAAAUAGACGGUAGCCAAGGAGGAAGCCCGGCUAACUACGUGCCAGCAG